Cyprinus carpio carpio is the source of this 1407-nucleotide long non-coding RNA. Lineage: Eukaryota; Metazoa; Chordata; Actinopteri; Cypriniformes; Cyprinidae. The record is from Ensembl.
AGCGCUGCUGUUUCCAUGUCCAUGUUUAACACAGCACUGCACAGAUUCACUGAAGAGACUGGAAACCCUUUAGAAAGACUCUAUGCUCUGUGUUAACCUACAGAACAUGCUCACUAAAGAAAUCAUACUAACUUAUACAUGUUGUUUAUGCAAGAUUUGCGUGUAUCAAAAUGUAGUAUUUCUAAUUUUAUAAUUGUAUUUGUGAGAUUGUGAUGUUUUCAAGCAAUAACCAUUAUAUUUAUCACUUACACUUAACCAGAAUCAAAAGCAGGGAAAGUGACUUUUUGCCCAGCUCUCCUGUAAUGCAUAAGUCAGAAUAGACAUCAUGUGUGCCCAAUACCAAGUAUAUUGUUUCUUCAGUGUGCCUUCAUUAAAAUAUUGGUCAACAAUUACAUCAUUAAAAGUGAUCUGAUAACAAGAAAGUAGUGAUGAUCCAAAUAUCAAAAGGCUCUUGACUACAGACAUGCUGAAGAGUUUCUGCUUUAGAUAAACUGUUGCUGUAAAAUCAUCUUACGUGACAUAAACAGGGCUGACGUGUCACAAUCUCAGGGAUGCCAUUGCUGUCCGUGUCUGUUCUGGACACUGAUCCAUGUCUUCCCACACAGGUCAGCCACGGUACGUCUCAUUAAACACACACACACACACACACACACACACACACACACUCAUUUGCAUGUGCUGUAAACUCUUUAAUCACUUCAGGUUGAUUAUAUAGUUAUGAAUAAGCUUGAUAGAUGAUGGCCAGGGGUAGAUGUGACCCUGGCAGCGGCUGCUGUGUCUGGUUUUGCUGAAUGGAUUAUCUGGGCUUUUGUGAAGUGAAUGUGUGUUUUGGUGAUUAAUGAAUCUAUUGAUUUUUAAAGCAAAGAGCAGCAGACGAUGACCGCUGUGUGUGUCUUUGUAACUAACAGCAUUUGUUCGACCACAGAGUCACAUUAAAGGGUCGCCAGUAGAGAUUCAGAUAAUAAAAUUUCUACAUUUCUACAAAGCUUUUUUAUAUUUUAUUUAUUUAUUUAUAUUUUGUUGUUUUUGUUUAUUUAAUUUUAUAAUAGUAUAUGAUAAUUAUAGUUACUUCUAUUUGUUCUGUUCUGAACAACGAUAUUGUUAAGUGUAAAUGAUUUGUUUUGAUGUGAGGGGAACUAAAAUAGCCCAGGUUUUGUUUAAAGUUUAUAUUAUUUUAUUACAUUUAUAAUGUUUAUUAUUUUGAUAAUUUCUGAAUGUAAUACUUAAUUUUGUCUUAUCACAUGAGCGGUGUUCUUGUGUCACCGCAUCUGUGUGAACUUUCCAACACGCAUCUGUCAUGUAACACGCCGUGAACCAAACCAAGAUGAACAUUUUAAAGUGCAUGUUUAAAAGUAUAUCUUUUUUUUUUUUUGUAAACCCUUAUUUGUUGGCUGGGCUUGUUUGGAU